Molecule: ribosomal RNA, 207 nt
Filed under: uncultured bacterium
Lineage: Bacteria
Description: partial 16S ribosomal RNA
Rfam family: Bacterial small subunit ribosomal RNA
Source: RNAcentral
UGCGCAGGCGGUUUUGUAAGACAGUGGUGAAAUCCCCGGGCUCAACCUGGGAACUGCCAUUGUGACUGCAAGGCUGGAGUGCGGCAGAGGGGGAUGGAAUUCCGCGUGUAGCAGUGAAAUGCGUAGAUAUGCGGAGGAACACCGAUGGCGAAGGCAAUCCCCUGGGUCUGCACUGACGCUCAUGCACGAAAGCGUGGGGAGCAAACA